AGGAUGAACGCUGGCGGCGUGCUUAAGACAUGCAAGUCGAACGCAGAGCUGAUAGCAAUAUUGGUUCUGAGUGGCGAAUGGGUGCGUAACACGUAGGUGACCUGCCCUGAAGUGGGGAAUAACAGUCCGAAAGGACUGCUAAUACCGCAUACGGUUCAAGGCGUUAGAGAACUUGAACCAAAGGUCGUAAGAUCGCUUCAGGAGGGGCCUGCGGCCCAUCAGUUAGUUGGUAGGGUAACGGCCUA
Molecule: ribosomal RNA, 245 nt
Filed under: uncultured soil bacterium
Lineage: Bacteria
Description: partial 16S ribosomal RNA
Rfam family: Bacterial small subunit ribosomal RNA
Source: RNAcentral